Molecule: long non-coding RNA, 1004 nt
Filed under: Homo sapiens (human)
Lineage: Eukaryota; Metazoa; Chordata; Mammalia; Primates; Hominidae
Description: HSALNT0249522
Source: RNAcentral
CUAAUUUUCUCUCAUUUCUUUCACUUCCUAUGGGAAAGACCAAGUGAUUUCUGGAACUCAUAGUCACAUAUUACAAUCUCUUUAUACCUCUACAUAUUUGUUCUUUGUAAGAUAGAACCUAAAUUUGAGUCCACUUUCACACCGCAUAGGUGACAGAAAGGUGAUGGUAUAUUUUUAGGGGAAAUGGCAGAAACACGUACUUGUGAAAUUCCCCCAGUUGUUCAAAUCUCAAAAAGGAACUGGACAUAUUCCCACAUCCUAACUCCCAAAUGUGAUGGUAUUAGGAGGUGGGACCUUUGGGUAUAAUUGGGUCAUGAAGGCAGGGUCUUCAUGAAUGGGAUUAGUCCUUUUAUAAAAGAAACUCUGUAGAGUUCCUUCAUUCCUUCCACCGUGUGAGAUCAUACCCAGAAGAUUACUGUCUGUGAACCAGAAAGUGGGCUCUCACCAUACACCAAAUCUGCUGCCAACUUGAUCUUGGCUUUCGCAGCUUGCAGAGCUUGGGAGAAAUGCAAAACUGGUUUCCAGAAAUCUCAUAAGGAGUGGAUGAUAUGGCAUCAAUAGAAAACAUGUUAACAGAGGCUGUUUAUAUUCCUUGGCUAAUGGCCCAUUCUUGACAUUAUUCUGAUAUCUGCAACCACCUUCGGAGUCUGCUGCUUUGACCAUACGUCUGUUGUCAUCUUCCCAUCACCUUCUCUGACUGCACCCUUGCUCUUAUGAGGAUCCCUAUGAUUACACUGGACCCACCAAGAUAACCCAAUAUAAUCUCCACACUCAACAUUUUAAAUUUAAUCAUAUCUGCAAAAUCUCUUCCACUGUGUAAGGUAACACAUUCAUAGAUUCUAGGGAUUAGGACAUGGACAUCUUUAGGUGGCCAUUAUUCUAUUUAUCACAAUUUCCUAUUCAAUUUCCUAUCAAAGGUUUGAAGUAAUAUUAAAAACAACACAAAAAUAUGCCAAUAUAAAAAUACAAAAUAUAAAUUCUAGAAAUUUGAGUGUAAUUCCCAC